This 67-nucleotide transfer RNA is filed under the name Cyclophorus martensianus. RNAcentral's name for it is "tRNA-Arg". Lineage: Eukaryota; Metazoa; Mollusca; Gastropoda; Architaenioglossa; Cyclophoridae. The record is from RNAcentral.
AUGUGAAAAGCCAAAAUAGCGGCAUAUGAUUUCGACUCAUAUAACUGAUUUUUUAUUUCUUUACAUG